CUGGCAACAGUGUUGUUCCCACGGCCACAAGAAAGAUUGAUAGAGAAUUCAAUCCACUCAGGAAGUUCCGUGACCCGGAGUGCACUACAACAGUCAAGAAUGCGUCUUUCACUGGGGCAGCCUCACUGAGGCGCCUCGAGAGUUUGCCACUGACGCCAUCAGUGCCACCACUCAGGUGUCCCUUAUCACCGUUGCCACCGACAGGGCCUCCUGGGGCUUCUGAAGGCGUAGAAAGAUUGUUUUCCUGUGUCUGGUUCACUGCAGGGACUUUUGGUCCUGAAGGGUGUGUCAGCGUAUCUGCAUGGACCUCGGAAUCGGAAGGAUUCCCAUGAGUAUCAGACCCUGUCAAACCGUCUGUUGGCUCAGUUCCACCGCCACCCUGAGAAGAUGCUGACCCCUGCCCAGGGGAAUCUGAACCGUCCUCUGAAGCAGGGGGCUGAGCACCUGGAUUUCCAGACCCCUGAUGGGUCUCGUCACUUUCUGGCUGAUCAUUGGAUUCUGGACUUUCAGUAUCGUUUGGAAUAGACGUCGGCGGAGUCGGCGGGCGGGUUUCCGAAUCCGAGACAGCCGUUAGGACCGUUUUAAACCGGACACAAAAGCUCAGCCCUCCACUCAAGUACUCUGCAGGAGGAUUUCUAAACGUGUAUUUUACAGCUUUUCCCGCGGAUUCACGGUUUCGCUCCCAAGAUUCCUGCUCUUCGCGAAUCCAUAAUUUUGCCUUGUACCCUGGAAAAGCAUCCUUGAAUUCGAUUGUCUUAGUGAAAUCGCACGCUCCAUUCUCAUAUCGAUACGCGGCACUGUACGGUUCCGUCAAAGUUCCAUCUGAAUUCGUGCUUGUUUCAGGCUGGUAGGUAGCUUUGCCGGUUUCGUCAAUGACCCGCAGCGUGCAAGAUGGACCGAGAGAAAAUAUUUCUUCCACAUUCUUCUCGAGUCCCCCUUUCGGGAUAGCCGCAGUGAACUCGGUACCAGCUAUGGGCUCCUUUGUUUCAGACGCGGCACACGAUAGUAAGGUGCCGAUCAUGAGGGUCAGAUAUACUGCUGGAAACGUCUGGCCGGCCAUCGGGGCUACAAAUUUGUAUAGUUUGAAGAGAUCCCCCUAUACAAAAACAUGCGUAACUGCGUACACCUCGAAGGACACUGCAUGGAUGUAGGGUAUGGCACCAGCGGUGAGAAUGAUGUGUCACCACAGAAACAGCAGACACCACCAAAGCUACCUCAAGACAUACGCAAAGGUAACACGCAUUCCGCGGUUUUUUAAUGUUUUAUCACAAAUGCGCUUUGCCCCUUUUCAGAUUUCAAGACGCCCUGUCAUGAGGGACGUCAUCCAAUGAAUACGCCGCUUUUGCGGGUAGAGAUGUCCUCAGAGCCGGUGGGCGGUGGAAGGUCAAGACACUCGCUGGCGCGCGAAUUCGAAGGCAACAUGCGCUCUCGCUGCAGUGUCCAGAGCGUGUACAAAGUUAGUUUCAUUUCUAGUGUGUUGCGCUUAGUGAAGAAUAAUACGAAAAGAUUCCGUUUAUUUGCUCGUUUUCAGUAAGACGAGGUUAUUUUGGACUCAUCUGAUGCACGAUGCCUUUACUCUCUUUAUGGGCCCUUGUCAGGAGAAGGCAUCAAGAGUUCGAAGCCGCGAGCGGUUAACGAAGGGCCACUGGAGGAUGGUCUUACGGAUGGGGUGAAAUAUGCAGGCUCUGUAACUUUCUCCAGAACCAGUGCGAUAUGAAUGCGCAUCAGUCACCUGAAUUAAACCAGUUACAUGCAUGUGCAGUCGACAAUCGUCACAGAUUUGUGGGCAACGGUGGCACGUAACUGGACGCACGAUAGAGCUGCGGCAAAACAGUCGGGUUGGAGAAGCCGGCUGUAGGAUUGGCAGAAAAUGAAUAAAGGGUUCAGUCAGCACGGUCCUGCGUUCACUCAAGCUUCGUCACCAGACUGUGGCGCACAGUACUUCAAAUGUACUAAAUGUAAUGAAGUCGAAACAUGCAGAAGGCGUAGGGGACUGCUACGUGCAUACACACUGCAGCAUUUUUCAGCUUUGUUCCAUCUCACCGAUGGUACAAAAGGUGUUCGGCACCACGAAGAGUAUACGCUAACGUAAGAAAAAUGUUAAUUCCAUUGCUUGCCCCAAAGAGUGAUUUUUUGAUGCUGCCUUUUAAUGCAAAGUCUUGCAAGCAACGCAUAUGGACAUCACAGAGUGAGACUGCCGUGUAUUUGAGAAUUGUAGGGCUUUCUCCGCUGCUAAUUACUGUUCCAUGCUCUGUUGUUCACCUUGUUGUUAUCAACUACAGCAGCAACCAGAGUACGGGAUUUCUUAAUCGG
RNAcentral lists this long non-coding RNA (2313 nucleotides) under Toxoplasma gondii VEG. The record is from RNAcentral. Lineage: Eukaryota; Apicomplexa; Conoidasida; Eucoccidiorida; Sarcocystidae.